RNAcentral lists this non-coding RNA (132 nucleotides) under Solenopsis fugax. The record is from RNAcentral. Lineage: Eukaryota; Metazoa; Arthropoda; Insecta; Hymenoptera; Formicidae.
GAUAGUGAUGUUGCGGUGUAGAGAAAUGAUACUAUACCUAACCUAGCAUCUUCCAUUUAACCCUUUCCGCCGGAAGCUCUCGCUGGCACCCAAAUAGAGAGUUUGUUUGCCGCAACGUCUUUAAUUUUAUAA